GUGGGGAAUAUUGCACAAUGGGCGCAAGCCUGAUGCAGCCAUGCCGCGUGUAUGAAGAAGGCCUUCGGGUUGUAAAGUACUUUCAGCGAGGAGGAAGGCGUUGUGGUUAAUAACCGCAGCGAUUGACGUUACUCGCAGAAGAAGCACCGGCUAACUCCGUGCCAGCAGCCGCGGUAAUACGGAGGGUGCAAGCGUUAAUCGGAAUUACUGGGCGUAAAGCGCACGCAGGCGGUUUGUUAAGUCAGAUGUGAAAUCCCCGGGCUCAACCUGGGAACUGCAUUUGAAACUGGCAAGCUUGAGUCUCGUAGAGGGGGGUAGAAUUCCAGGUGUAGCGGUGAAAUGCGUAGAGAUCUGGAGGAAUACCGGUGGCGAAGGCGGCCCCCUGGACGAAGACUGACGCUCAGGUGCGAAAGCGUGGGGAGCAAACAGGAUUAGAUACCCUAGUAGUCC
RNAcentral lists this ribosomal RNA (450 nucleotides) under uncultured bacterium. Its description in RNAcentral is "partial 16S ribosomal RNA". It matches the Rfam family "Bacterial small subunit ribosomal RNA", at positions 354 to 796 of the family's 1533-position model. The record is from RNAcentral.